ACGGCGGCCGUAACUAUAACGGUCCUAAGGUAGCGAAAUUCCUUGUCGGGUAAGUUCCGACCCGCACGAAAGGCGUAACGAUUUGGGCACUGUCUCAACGAGAGACUCGGUGAAAUCAUAGUACCUGUGAAGAUGCAGGUUACCCGCGACAGGACGGAAAGACCCCGUGGAGCUUUACUGUAGCCUGAUAUUGAAAUUCGGCACAGCUUGUACAGGAUAGGUAGGAGCCUUUGAAACGUGAGCGCUAGCUUACGUGGAGGCGCUGGUGGGAUACUACCCUAGCUGUGUUGGCUUUCUAACCCGCACCACUUAUCGUGGUGGGAGACAGUGUCAGGCGGGCAGUUUGACUGGGGCGGUCGCCUCCUAAAAGGUAACGGAGGCGCUCAAAGGUUCCCUCAGAAUGGUUGGAAAUCAUUCAUAGAGUGUAAAGGCAUAAGGGAGCUUGACUGCGAGACCUACAAGUCGAGCAGGGUCGAAAGACGGACUUAGUGAUCCGGUGGUUCCGCAUGGAAGGGCCAUCGCUCAACGGAUAAAAGCUACCCCGGGGAUAACAGGCUUAUCUCCCCCAAGAGUUCACAUCGACGGGGAGGUUUGGCACCUCGAUGUCGGCUCAUCGCAUCCUGGGGCUGUAGUCGGUCCCAAGGGUUGGGCUGUUCGCCCAUUAAAGCGGUACGCGAGCUGGGUUCAGAACGUCGUGAGACAGUUCGGUCCCUAUCCGUCGUGGGCGUAGGAAAUUUGAGAGGAGCUGUCCUUAGUACGAGAGGACCGGGAUGGACAUACCUCUGGUGUACCAGUUGUCGUGCCAACGGCAUAGCUGGGUAGCUAUGUGUGGACGGGAUAAGUGCUGAAAGCAUCUAAGCAUGAAGCCCCCCUCAAGAUGAGAUUUCCCAACUUCGGUUAUAAGAUCCCUCAAAGAUGAUGAGGUUAAUAGGUUCGAGGUGGAAGCAUGGUGACAUGUGGAGCUGACGAAUACUAA
Molecule: ribosomal RNA, 976 nt
Filed under: Staphylococcus aureus
Lineage: Bacteria; Bacillati; Bacillota; Bacilli; Caryophanales; Staphylococcaceae
Description: partial 23S ribosomal RNA
Rfam family: Bacterial large subunit ribosomal RNA
Source: RNAcentral